AAGGGUAUAGCUCAGUGGUAGAGUGCAGUGCUUAGCAUGCACAAGGUUCUGGGUUCAAUCCCUGGUACCUCCA
RNAcentral lists this transfer RNA (73 nucleotides) under Camelus bactrianus (Bactrian camel). It matches the Rfam family "tRNA". From Rfam's summary of the family: Transfer RNA (tRNA) molecules are approximately 80 nucleotides in length. Their secondary structure includes four short double-helical elements and three loops (D, anti-codon, and T loops). The record is from Rfam by way of RNAcentral. Lineage: Eukaryota; Metazoa; Chordata; Mammalia; Artiodactyla; Camelidae. RNAcentral also lists the same sequence under 1 other name.